UUAGAUUGGACAUUAGGAAGAACUUCUUCACAGUUCGAGUGGCCAAGGUCUGGAACGGGCUCCCAAGGGAGGUGGUGCUCUCCUCUACCCUGGGGGUCUUCAAGAGGAGGUUAGAUGAGUAUCUAGCUGGGGUUAUCUAGACCCAGCACUCUUUCCUGCCUAUGCAGGGGGUCGGACUCGAUGAUCUAUUGAGGUCCCUUCUGACCCUAACGUCUAUGAAUCUAUGAAUAGACCAGGAGGUCCGGGUAUGUGGUCCACGCUUUGCACUGGGCCUGGCUUUCCUAUGUUGUCCUCUGUUAAAAGCCUGGUGCUGGGGCAUGUGUCCCAGAGGACUUAGGAGGUGGGGGUAAGUGGAGGUGUUCAGGUAGGUGACGCAGAAGCUCCCAGCUUCAUGACGAAAGUGUGAUCCGUGCUUGCCUGGCACCCCUGACCCUCAUGGGUCAGCGUGUUCUGGGGGAAGAUUACCCUGCACCAAGCCACCCAGCCCCUUCUGCAGGUCUCUUGCUCAUCGCCUGCCCUUGUCCUCCAGCUCUGCUUGGAUUUAGAGCCGCCGACACCUGAGGGAGACCUGAGGAGGCCAGGGACAGUGCCAAGUGCAAGGCGUCUGCAUGAUCCUGCAGCCCCGUGGUUGCACCUCGCCAGUGGGCUGAGGUCCUUGGGGUGACGCCGAGUUCCUGUGACGGGGCCUCCUUACGUGCCCAUCUUCUGCAGGGAGUCACCGUGGCCAUGCUCAGAAGAUCAGCAACUGAGAGGAGCAUGCAGGUGCCUCCCUAAGGGUCUGUGAUAUCAGUUAUCUGUGGUCCAGGGUGCUGCCACCGGGGCACUGCAGCCAGGGACUCACAUCAGGCCCUGCAGACGGGAGUGUAGAGGUCAUGCCCCAAGGGAGAGAUGGCUUGCACUGAGAUCAGAGGAGAUGAGCUGGGCAGGGCAUUUAAGGGUUGUGAAACCUAGUGGGGGGAGCGGGGGUCUUUCCUGGGAAGAGCAUGCGGAGCCACCCUGCGUCCAGCUCUGUGGCCCUUCAGGUGAGAGAUGCAGAGGAGGAGGGGGCCGGAGGUGCAGGGCAUUGGCCUGAGUUCAGGUCCUUGCUUCCUGCAGGACCUUGGUAAGGUCCUUGGGAUGGGGCCUCCUUCCCAAGACCCCUGUAGCCUAAUUAGUGCCUCAGCAGAGGUAGGUGCCCAGCCCCCAGGCAGCCGGGGGAAUAGGGGGCACCUUCAGCAAGCCGGGGCGAAACGGAGGGCAAAGGAGUGCGAUUUCGGCUGAGCUGCUCAGCGAGCAGGUGUCUGCCUGGCCAGAGAGGCAAGGCUUGAGCUCUGCCUAGCCGCGACAGACCCAGGGACCCGCAUCCCCCUGCAAAAGACUUGGGUUCAAGUCCUUUUUCUGUCUAAAACAGAGCAGGGACUUGACCCCUUAUCACAGGGCUGCCUCUCUGUGCGCCAGCCACCAAUGCAUGGGUUAUGCCACCGAGGGGAGACCCCCACCUCGGGGCUGCGGCCCGUCCUGGGGACAGGAGGGUUCAAGUCCUUGCACUUGCCUGUCUCACGUAUGCUGUUGUCCGAGUACACUUGAUGGGAGAGAGGCCUGCCUGGCGAGUCCUGCUCGGGGCCCUGGGUGUGAGCUCUGGGCAGCGCUGGGUUUUGAGGCAACACCAGCAUUUGGUCGGCUUUGCGCUGGUAGAAAUGUGGGUGCCCAUGGUGCUCGGCAGACUGCAGGGUGGAUCUGGGCAGAGCAGCGGUGCCCAAAUAGGGGGCACAGGCGGACGCUUUGCCUCUCCUGCCACCACCAUACCUCACAGGAUCUGGGGCUUCUGGGAUCGCGCCUCGGUGCUCACAAAACACGCUCCUGCAGGAGAUCCUGGUUGCAGGGUCUGGCUUUUCCUCUCAGAGUCAGACCCAUCACCAACCACGUUUGGGGUCAGGAGGGAUUUGGUCAGACUGGCAUGAUUUGUAGGUGGUCUCUGCAGUGGGGGGGCACUUUUCCUAGGAUCCUCUGAGCAGUUGCUUCUCCAUUGUGCCAGGGGCAGGGCAUUGGCCAUGACCAUCUCCUUUUCCCUGUGCCACGUGCUAAGGUGUUUUUGGUGCUUUGGGUUUUGUGCCUUGUAGCAGUGGGUGAGGGGUGGAGGUGGCAAAGUUGGGAGGUUUCCUGGGGGCACCGGGCUCAAUGGCUUGGGAAGCCCCUUUCCAGUGCUGCUCCUAACCAUACAGACCCCGUAGCUAGAGGAGCAAUUGGAGAAGGUGUGCGCUGAGCAGUCUGCGCCCCAUCUUGCCCUGGAGAGGAGUGUUGGCUGAGUAGCACUGGGGGGCGUUAGCCCUGCCUCUGCCCACGCUGCAGCUAGUGGAGCCUGGUCCAAAGCCUACCAUGAGAUGGUUCAUUUUCCCUGAGCGAGACGGGCAAGGGCUGGCUUUGUAUGGCAGCGCUCGGGGUUUGUGCCAGAGGGAAGAGGAGGGCAGAAGACGCAGUGCCAGCGGUUAAUGAGCCAGGCGGACACACAGCGCAAUCAGUCAGGGACUCUGUUCACCUCCACCCCUCACCUUCAUUAACACAAUUAGCAGCUCCCGGCUCACAUCAACUCCUUAAGCGUGGACUGUGCCCUGAAAUCCUUAUGUUAAUGGAGUCUAAUGAUCUACUAAUCUUCCCUCCCCGCAGCCCUCGGCCUGCUUAAUUGGUGGAGCCAUUGGCCCGGACACUUAACGGUUGUGUAAUGGGUAGCAUUUGCCCUCCUCGUGGUUUUGCCUUAUGAUUUGCCACUUACUGAGGGCGCGGCAGACAAUAGCAGGGGUCAGAGCGGCUCCGUCUCCUCUGUCUUCCACGUCUGAGCGAGGUCAGGCAGCCGGCGGGGGGGAGCGAGUCCUUGCUUACACCAUUGAUUGGGGGGAAAAAAAGGACUCGGGGUGUCUGCUCGUAGCCUGGGAGGGUCCUGGUGCCGUCUGCGCUGUGCCUGCAAGGCCAGCGUCUUGCUGAUACUGGUACGAGACCCAGUUGGAGGGGGCUCCCCUGCAUCCCUCUGCCCUGAUACUAAUUUCUUAGUGGCAUGAAUCAAGAGGCAUCAUGAUGGUAAUAGCUCGAGGGGCGAAUCUGGCCCACUCCAGUUGUUCCAGCUGGGGUGCAGCCUGAGAGCAGCGUGUGUCCUACGAGCUGGCGUCACCCCGGGGCUGCUUUUCCCCUGGGGAGCUCCAAGCAUGGUGCAAACCUCACUAAAGCCUUGUCAGAGGGCAGCAGAUAAUACAGUGUCCAAAGGGAUGGGCUUGGGGGGGAUCUCCGUGCAAACCUCUCCUCUGCUACUGAAUUCCUGUGCGAUGCUGCAGGGCGAGAGGCACAAAGGGAAGGAGACGCUCAUUUGAGUUCAGCACCGAGACUCUCAAACCCUCUGGUCAGCUGAAGGUGCCCGGGUUUGCACCAGGAAAGUCCCUGAGGCCUUGGCAUUUUUGCUCUGGGCUUACGCACAGCCACUCAAAUCCGCAUGAGCGCCAAGGCCAUCCUCUGGGUCACCCCCGGGGCCUGAUCCACUAGGCAUCCUCAGAUCGUGCCCCCUCCCCAGCAUCCUAGUGGUCAGAGCCCAGCUGGGAGGGAGAAGACCCAAGCUCACGUCCCUCCGCGUGGCUGAUUUGGAGCCGUGGUUUGAACCCGGGGCUGUGGAGUGGCCCUGAUCAAGGGGCUACCCCGUCUGGGAUCCCGCUGGUGAAUCUGGUCUGCUUUGCGUUCGACGGGAAGUGCUCUAACCACUACACGAGGCAGUCAAGCUCCUUCACCCCCUGGCUCCAUGAGUGUGCCAUCCUGAAAUGCGAAGCUUUGACAAGGGGAGACUGGCUGAGCCUGGGGGAUGCCAGGCUUGCAACUGGAGGCCCCACCUCUUGCUCCACCUCCCUUGGAGAGCUGCCUCCUACCCGGGACUUGAUAAAUAGGUGCUGCCCAAGCUUGGUGGUAGAUGCUGCUGGGCACUUGCCUCCAGACUUCUCUGCUAACACCAAACCGCCGCUGCCCUGCUCUGAUGAUGCACGCAGUGCUUAAGUCUGCCGGAGACGGGCUCGUUGCGUCGACACCACCAGAACUUCAGCCGGUGGGAUCGGACCCCAUCGAGGGCACUGCUGCGGGGGUGAAAAUGGGGGCAGGGAAAGGUCCAGGCUGCCCCCUGCCUCCCUCCACACAGCCGAUGAGGAUCUGUGAUGCCUGGCCUGGGUGCCAGAUUGGGACCGGCAGCUGGAUCCAGCCUGCGGACACACUGGGCACCGCCCGUCCAGCCUGCCAGGCACAAGGGUUGAGCGUUGCUGCUGCAGGACACAGCAAGGCUCGGCACCGUGCUCCAGUCUGGGGGCGCUCCUAGGAGAAGUGGGGAGGUCCCCGCUUGCCUGGGAGCAGACUGCACAAAGCCCCCGAGCGCCUGCUGGGGGCUCAGAGGGUCGUCGAGUGCGAUCUGGUAUUACCUGGCUCACUGCUCCUAAAGCCACUGGCUUCAGGCCCUCGUCAUCCAAGCUGAAGUCUCCAUGCACCGCUCACCCGGCAGAAUUGGCUGCUCCGUGCCCCGAGCUCAUUUAUUCAACUCCGGCGUAUUUUCUAGGUGCCCUCCUGGCCCUCAGCACAGGGCCCUGCACCCUGUCAGCGCAGGAGGCUGGAUUCUCCUUCCAUUAGCGGCAAUCGGGCUCAGGAAACCCAGCGCACUAAAUCAGCUAUCCGUUUGGGUGCGCUGCCCCCUUGCCCUGCUUGGUGAAGGGCCUGACUGAUACGGGCUGCAGAUGAGCUGCAUUUCCUGCACCCUUGGCUCUCAGCCUCGACUCCAAGCCUGCGUCAUGAGCCUCCCUGGAAAAUGCCAGCUCUUUGCUUUCACUAGCUCUUUGACUAUGGAAAAAUCCUAGAGCGAUUCUUCUGUUGCAAAGGACCCAGGGAGACCGUGGCGGGGCAGCGUGUAUCAGUCACUCCAGGUUCCUCUUUGAAAUCUCACAGAUCAUGAGAGGUGUUUGCACACCUAAGUGUGCUAUCGUUGUGUGGCACCCUUGGACAGAUCUCAAGGCACCCGAGGGUGCACCUGGAGAAUCGCUGCCCACGUGCUGUCAUUUCUGAGCAUGCCAGUGGGAUCUGCAUCAUGGGACCCUGUAUCCUUUGUGUAUUGCUGUAUUUUAACAGCGGUUAUGCUAGGUGCUUUCCACCAAAACCUUCCAGGAGUGCCUUCCUGCAUGUAACAAAGGCACAAAGAAAAAGCCGCUAACGAGCUUCUGGGCCUUGAUAGUGUAAAACGUGUAACGUGUCUUGGGCAGGGGGGGAAACCCUGUUGUGAGCCAGGGGUACCAGUGAGCUGAGAUGCCCCAGGCAGACCUGGACACAGGUGUGGGCGAACCGGCCUGGACAGAAAGGGGGCCUGAAAAUGAAAAAAAAAUGACAAUUGCAAAGAAAAAGUUUUAAUAUUGUGCAUAUACGGGACUGGCCCUGUUAUCAAUUGAGAACAAAUUCUUUAAAGACAUCGAUACCACGGAUGUGAUAAAGACUUUUGCAACAAAAAAAUGCUGCAGAGUGGCAAAGGGGGGCCUGAUACUAAAAGUUUGCCCGGGGCCGCCAGGAGUGCAGGUACGGCGCUGGCCCCAGGCAGUGGGGAGCGUGCUGGAGAUACCAGGGACAAGGAACCAAACCUUUCUCAGGGCAAAACUCACCAACCCCUUCCAAGGACCGUGGAGGAGACGGCGUGGCGUUUCCAGCCUUUUGCCCAGCAACGCCUCUCCUACAGGAGCUGCAGCUUCGGGCCCAGACUCUGCAAGAAAGGAAGCAGGUUUCUGAUGCACCAUCCGAUGCGUUCACUCCGGGGAGAAGCAUGGCAGGAAACUUGUGCCUUGAGCUUCCUCGUUCUGCUUCCUCUCUACUGAGGGGCUGAAUGGCUUGAGUUGUGACGUUGGUGUCACCCCAAGCAGACCUGGAUUGUAGUGUCUGUCUCGGGCAGGCAGCAUCGGGGUGGGAGCUAUUGCUCUCCCAGACGUGGGAGUCAGAGGCGUGCGUGCAGCUGCCGGCUGAGGCCGGCCAUCAGGGUGCAAUGGCAAGUGCAAGUACUUGCCUUGUGUUUAACCCUGGUGGCUGGUGCGAGCAGGACCCUCGCUGGCGCUCAGACUCGGGAGCUGGUUGCUCCAUGGGAGAUGUGUAGAGCUGCCCCUGCAACCCCCCUCCAGAUUUUCCUUCCCUGGGACGACUUCCUGGGGCUCGUAAGACUUGGGUUCAGCUCCUUGGUGCCCAUGUGCUCUGCCCUGUACCCGUAUCAGAUGUGGGGAGACGUCCGUCCCUGCAUGAUGGGACCCUGCGUCCUUUGUGCAGUGCUGCAUGACAGCUGCACGGCUACACUAAGGUCCUACCCACCGACCUGGCAGGAUGCCGCCUCCACCCGGCGGUGAGAUGCUGAGGGCGCGGGGGACCAUUGCAAGUGGACGGGCAGGGCUUUUGAGGGCCACUUCUUUGUCCAGGGGCUGAGCAGCUGAAGAAGGGCCCCCCACUUUGCUCCUCUCUGCCACUGUUUCGCUUUGGGAAAGGUGAGUUUUGAGUUUUGUGACUCGUCCAAGGAACAGGAGGAAGCCAUGCAGUAAGGGGUGCUCUUCCCUCUGGGAUUAGGGGUAGUGUCCUGCUGCAGGAGGGGCUCAAUUGGCCCCCCAGCCUCCUGCUUGCAUUAUUUGCCCCAGCUCCUGGGGGCAGGGAGCCUGAGGCUGUUUAAAGCAGAAGGACUUGGCAACUCUUUGAGGGUCUGCAUGGGGAUGGCACAGGCUCUGCGGCCCCCAGCUGAGCGAGGCUGGGAGGCCGAGCGCUAAAACGUCUGGGGACUGCACUGGCUGCAGAGCAACCGGCCUCCCGUCUGGGUCUCUCAGCAGUCGGUCUCCUGGGGGGGGUUAUGCCCUACUUUUCAAAGCCAGUUUGCAGGACCCUGGGUGAAUUGGACUCCCGCGGCCCAGGCCUCCAGGGCAAGCGUUACAGCACAGAACAGACGAGCGCAGUGCAGUAAAAUAUUUAUUGGCCAUGU
Long non-coding RNA from Alligator mississippiensis (American alligator), 6979 nucleotides. RefSeq lists it as uncharacterized. The record is from RefSeq and is a predicted model, not a curated record. NCBI's taxonomy places the organism in Eukaryota, Metazoa, Chordata, Crocodylia, Alligatoridae. The transcript has 3 exons.